Small nuclear RNA from Pteropus vampyrus (large flying fox), 106 nucleotides. The record is from Ensembl. NCBI's taxonomy places the organism in Eukaryota, Metazoa, Chordata, Mammalia, Chiroptera, Pteropodidae.
GUGCUUGUUUUGGCAGUACGUAUACUAAAAUUGGAUUAUAUAGAGAAGAUUAGCAUGGCACCUGCACAAGUAUAACAUGCAAAUUUGUGAAGUAUUUCAUGUUUUC